AGAGUUUGAUCAUGGCUCAGAUUGAACGCUGGCGGCAGGCCUAACACAUGCAAGUCGAGCGGUAGCACAGAGAGCUUGCUCUCGGGUGACGAGCGGCGGACGGGUGAGUAAUGUCUGGGAAACUGCCUGAUGGAGGGGGAUAACUACUGGAAACGGUAGCUAAUACCGCAUAACGUCGCAAGACCAAAGUGGGGGACCUUCGGGCCUCAUGCCAUCAGAUGUGCCCAGAUGGGAUUAGCUAGUAGGUGGGGUAACGGCUCACCUAGGCGACGAUCCCUAGCUGGUCUGAGAGGAUGACCAGCCACACUGGAACUGAGACACGGUCCAGACUCCUACGGGAGGCAGCAGUGGGGAAUAUUGCACAAUGGGCGCAAGCCUGAUGCAGCCAUGCCGCGUGUGUGAAGAAGGCCUUCGGGUUGUAAAGCACUUUCAGCGGGGAGGAAGGCGUUAAGGUUAAUAACCUCACCGAUUGACGUUACCCGCAGAAGAAGCACCGGCUAACUCCGUGCCAGCAGCCGCGGUAAUACGGAGGGUGCAAGCGUUAAUCGGAAUUACUGGGCGUAAAGCGCACGCAGGCGGUCUGUCAAGUCGGAUGUGAAAUCCCCGGGCUCAACCUGGGAACUGCAUUCGAAACUGGCAGGCUAGAGUCUUGUAGAGGGGGGUAGAAUUCCAGGUGUAGCGGUGAAAUGCGUAGAGAUCUGGAGGAAUACCGGUGGCGAAGGCGGCCCCCUGGACAAAGACUGACGCUCAGGUGCGAAAGCGUGGGGAGCAAACAGGAUUAGAUACCCUGGUAGUCCACGCCGUAAACGAUGUCGAUUUGGAGGUUGUGCCCUUGAGGCGUGGCUUCCGGAGCUAACGCGUUAAAUCGACCGCCUGGGGAGUACGGCCGCAAGGUUAAAACUCAAAUGAAUUGACGGGGGCCCGCACAAGCGGUGGAGCAUGUGGUUUAAUUCGAUGCAACGCGAAGAACCUUACCUGGUCUUGACAUCCACAGAACUUUCCAGAGAUGGAUUGGUGCCUUCGGGAACUGUGAGACAGGUGCUGCAUGGCUGUCGUCAGCUCGUGUUGUGAAAUGUUGGGUUAAGUCCCGCAACGAGCGCAACCCUUAUCCUUUGUUGCCAGCGGUUAGGCCGGGAACUCAAAGGAGACUGCCAGUGAUAAACUGGAGGAAGGUGGGGAUGACGUCAAGUCAUCAUGGCCCUUACGACCAGGGCUACACACGUGCUACAAUGGCAUAUACAAAGAGAAGCGACCUCGCGAGAGCAAGCGGACCUCAUAAAGUAUGUCGUAGUCCGGAUUGGAGUCUGCAACUCGACUCCAUGAAGUCGGAAUCGCUAGUAAUCGUAGAUCAGAAUGCUACGGUGAAUACGUUCCCGGGCCUUGUACACACCGCCCGUCACACCAUGGGAGUGGGUUGCAAAAGAAGUAGGUAGCUUAACCUUCGGGAGGGCGCUUACCACUUUGUGAUUCAUGACUGGGGUGAAGUCGUAACAAGGUAACCGUAGGGGAACCUGCGGUUGGAUCACCU
This 1528-nucleotide ribosomal RNA is filed under the name Klebsiella pneumoniae. RNAcentral's name for it is "bacterial SSU rRNA". It matches the Rfam family "Bacterial small subunit ribosomal RNA". The record is from RNAcentral. Lineage: Bacteria; Pseudomonadati; Pseudomonadota; Gammaproteobacteria; Enterobacterales; Enterobacteriaceae.